This 1729-nucleotide long non-coding RNA is filed under the name Calidris pugnax (ruff). Its description in RNAcentral is "lncRNA (ENSCPUG00000004015.1)". Lineage: Eukaryota; Metazoa; Chordata; Aves; Charadriiformes; Scolopacidae. The record is from RNAcentral.
UGGCAGCCUAUAAAAAUGUCCCUACUCGGCGCAGGCAGGAACCAGGUUACACUUCUUAUAAGGCAGCUGAAGCCUAUAGAUCACAGAAAAAAAAAAAUCUGGGGAAAAACAUCUUCUCUGGGAGAUAGCCACUAAGAUCACCUUGCACAGAAGUAUUUCUAACUUUUUUGGUUUUUUUUUUUUUUUUUUUCCUGAUAGUAUUCCCAGUUGGACCAACAGCAUCUGAAUUUGCUGGGAUUAUGAGGAAGACAAAGUAUUCCUGGGGAGCCUUCGCAGGAAGAGGCAGCAAGUUGGCUGGGGAAAACACAAGGAUGCUUCCCAAGACUGUGCAUGAGGAGAGAAAGAAGCAGGAAGCCAAGAGGAGAGGGAAGCUGAAAACCGUGGCAGGAAAAUUGCUGAAGGCCGUGGCUGGUGGUAAAGAGGCAGUGGAGGAGAAGGCCAGCAGUGAGGAUGUGGCAGGGAAUUUGCUGAAGAUGGCAACCAGCAGGAAGGAAGUGGAGGGAGAGACACCUGCAGAGGAAACCAUCUGUGGAUUCAUUGAGCAAGGAAAAUUUUUUGAAGCUUGUGAUCGUAUUUAUGAUCUGGAGCAUUCUGGAAAUGAUGGUGUGGGAAAGUCUGAAUCACUUUAUACGCUGCUGGCUGAACGAAUGUGGACUGUGGUGGGAGAAGCACUCCGUGGAAGUGGUGGGAUGUUCCUGGAGCCGUUGCAGUCAGUGGGGGAAUCGCUGAAGUGGGAGAAGCAGAAGGAAGCAGAGUGGCUUGGCAGCAGCCAAGAGACGGAGUCUGUUUCCACCUGGAGUCCAAACUUCUGGAGGAAAGAUCUGGAGGAAAAGCUAAUACAUUAUAUAACAGCCCAGAUUCCCCCCUUUGGUUCCUGUAGUAACACAGAUGAGGCUGCACUGAAACAGCACCUGAGUCAGCUGGAAAUGACGUUUAUCCCCAGCCUGGAGCACAGAAGUGGUUUCUUCAAGGAAGCAGGACUGCUCGUCACCUACACCCACUGCUGUCAUGCCUCUUUGUCUUCUCACCUUUCCACACUUACUGACAGUAGCAAUUUCAGCUUCAGCCAAUGCCUUUUAGUUUAUGAAUGGGGCCUUAAAAUGUACAAAAGCAGCAGCGAGACAUGUCUGGGACCCAGGCAAACCCCCCAGCACAACCUUUCCUUUGGUGUACAGUGUCUCAUGUGGAUUAUUUUGAAGACUGAGGAAAAGUUACUUGCAGCCACCCGGAAGGAAGUAGGGAAAGCCCUGAAAGAAGCCUUUGAUAUCGGGAAACCCCCUUGUGCAGAUGCUGCAGUCAUUCAGAUUCUGACAGAGAAGACAGAGGCUGCCUGGCGUGUCAGUGAGAGCCUGAGUGAGAAGGUGGAAGCUGUGUGCCUGGAGGAGUGCCUGAAGUUCCUGGACAGGACUGUCUGGCAUAAGCUGACAUACAUUUGCAGUGCCAGCACUGGGCAGGAUGUUAAGGUAAAUGGAUUUCUAGACAGGAUGGAAGAUGAGAUUACGGAGCAUUUUCUGCAGACAGUCACUUCUAAAGUCAAGGGAACACUGAAGGAGCACUUCAAAAAGUGUGACAGUGGUUUUGACCACAUCCUUGAAUCCUUAAAGCAAAGCUUUUUGGCAUUUGGGAAGAAAAAAACAGACACGUAUGAGGUAAGAAAUAAGUAAGAAAGUAAGAAUAAGAUAUUACUCAGGAAAUCACUAAAACUAGUCCUUGAACCUCUGGAUGGCAC